GUAAGCUGUGACUCCCUGUAUUUGCUUGUCUUCCUUUCCAAACUUGGGGGCAGUGUUUUGCUCUGUGUCCUCCCCUCUUUUAUGGUUCCAUGAGUAGUUGUUGAUUUUUGAGGCUGUUCAGCUUUUGUUUGUUAUUAGGAUAGAGUGGUGAUUCCAAGAGUCUUACAUGUGGAACAAGAAACUGGAAGUCCUGGUGUUGUAUUUCAAAAUCAGUGUCCAAAUUUUCAUUGCUAGUGACAAGAGAUUUUCACAUACUGAGCAUUUAGAGCAGUGGUUCUCAACCAAGGGGGAGUCUCUUUCCCAGGAGACAUUUGGCAAUGUCUGGAGAUAAUUUUUGCUGUUAUUUUGGGAAGGGGCCACGCUACUGUCAUCUGGGGACCUGAAAGAUGAUGACUGCCUCUCCUCGUGGUUGCCAAAUGACUGUAGAACUUCCCAACAUCGCCUCACAGCAAUCUUCACAAGAAAAUCUUUUCAGAAGACUCAAAAAUCAACUUCCCUUCUAAUUUUAUUGGCCGGAAUUAGGUCACAUGUCCACCCCUAAGCCACUCAGCGGCCAAGAAGAAUGUCAUCUUGGACUGGCCUGGCUGAUCAGGGUCUCUUUAGAGGUGGAAUCUGAAGUCACCCACCUCUAAGUCAUGUGGCAAAUAAAUAAAUUCCUGAAAAAAAAUGUAUUUCUUUUAGCAAAAUAGAAAGGUUGAAGGUCCUCACAUGUAGGCAACAAAAGUUUCUGCCAAACUAUGUAUCUUGCAAAUCGUUCUUACUGGACAAAUCAUAUAAAGGAGCUUAGAGACCAUUAUUUGUACAUUAUAAACCAAUGCUAGAAAUCUUCAUUUGCAUCCUGAUUUUUGAAUUUUAGAAUACUACCUUUAUUCUCACUGCUUAGGUGAUAUUAUGAGGUUAAUAUGAUCCAGAUUUUUCAUAAAAGUUUUUGAAAAUAUGGAAUGUGAUUGAAGAGUGUAGAAAUAACUUUAAAGCCUUUACAUAUAGAAAGGAAAACUAUUUGUCAUUUAAAAAAUCACCAUUGAACCAUUUCUUCCCAUUUUGAUGGACUUUAAUAUCUUUUAUUGUGAAAUAUUUUUAAAGAGUUUCAAGGCUCUUUUAUGAUUAGGUUUUAGAAAUAUAGUGUUUAUUUUUUUAGAAAUGGGUUUUUGGAAUGAGGUUACUCUUUGAUAGUCUGAUUCAUCUCUGGGCCUUGCUCGGCUGCAUAACUCAGUCCCGUCAUAGUGAUGGUCCUU
RNAcentral lists this long non-coding RNA (1235 nucleotides) under Equus asinus (donkey). RNAcentral's name for it is "lncRNA (ENSEASG00005024120.1)". The record is from RNAcentral. Lineage: Eukaryota; Metazoa; Chordata; Mammalia; Perissodactyla; Equidae.